This 443-nucleotide ribosomal RNA is filed under the name uncultured bacterium. Its description in RNAcentral is "partial 16S ribosomal RNA". It matches the Rfam family "Bacterial small subunit ribosomal RNA", at positions 338 to 795 of the family's 1533-position model. The record is from RNAcentral.
CCUACGUGAGGCAGCAGUGGGGAAUAUUGGGCAAUGGGCGCAAGCCUGACCCAGCAACGCCGCGUGAAGGAAGACGGCUUUCGGGUUGUAAACCUCUUUUCUCAGGGACGAAGCAAGUGACGCUACCUGCGGAAUAUGCCACGGCUAACUACGGACCAGCAGUCGCAGUAAGACGGUGGGGGCAAUCGUCCUCCGGAUCUACUGGGUGUAAAGGGGGUGUAGGCGUGGACGCAAGUAAGAUGUGAAAACCACGGGCUCAACCUGUGGCCUGCAUUUGAAACUGUGUUUCUUGAGUACAGGAGAGGCAGACGGAAUUCCUAGUGUAGCGGUGAAAUGCGUAGAUAUUAGGAGGAACACCAGUGGCGAAGGCGGUCUGCUGGACAGCAACUGACGCUGAGGCGCGAAAGCGUGGGGAGCAAACAGGAUUAGAUACCCGGGUAGUC